AUUAUGCUGGUUUUCUGCGAAAUUUGUUUUAGCAAAUUGUUUAUUUCUAUUAAUUAGUAGGUAUAGCACUGAAUAUAUAGAAGGAGUUUAAUAAAACUUAUUUCAUAUAUUUAAUCUCAGAAUGACUAAUUAUUUAAAUAAUAAAUAAUCAGACUUUUUGCGAUAAGGUGAAAAGUCAAGAGGGAAACAGCCCAGAAUAGUAAUUAAAGCUCCCCAAUUAAUAUUAAGUGAGAAUUCCCAUGUNNUUUUUUAUUA
This 255-nucleotide ribosomal RNA is filed under the name Pneumocystis carinii f. sp. suis. Its description in RNAcentral is "partial 16S ribosomal RNA". It matches the Rfam family "Bacterial large subunit ribosomal RNA", at positions 843 to 1090 of the family's 2925-position model. The record is from RNAcentral. Lineage: Eukaryota; Fungi; Ascomycota; Pneumocystomycetes; Pneumocystales; Pneumocystaceae.